CCUUUUGACCAGUCUCUCCAUCUUUUUCAUCCAGUUUCACCCAAGAGCUUCGUGUUAGAUAUAGAUGUGGGGAUGUCUAGCCACACCAUAUCAACCUCUUUUCUAGUCAAAGGGGUGAAGGAAUUCAGAGAAAAAUUAUAAACUGAA
Non-coding RNA from Caenorhabditis elegans, 147 nucleotides. The record is from Ensembl. NCBI's taxonomy places the organism in Eukaryota, Metazoa, Nematoda, Chromadorea, Rhabditida, Rhabditidae.